This 465-nucleotide ribosomal RNA is filed under the name uncultured bacterium. RNAcentral's name for it is "partial 16S ribosomal RNA". It matches the Rfam family "Bacterial small subunit ribosomal RNA", at positions 28 to 506 of the family's 1533-position model. The record is from RNAcentral.
GAUGAACGCUGGCGGCGUGCUUAACACAUGCAAGUCGAACGGAAAGGCUCCUGCUUGCAGGGGUACUCGAGUGGCGAACGGGUGAGUAACACGUGGGUGAUCUGCCCUGCACUUCGGGAUAAGCCUGGGAAACUGGGUCUAAUACCGGAUAGGACGAUGGUUUGGAUGCCAUUGUGGAAAGUUUUUUCGGUGUGGGAUGAGCUCGCGGCCUAUCAGCUUGUUGGUGGGGUAAUGGCCUACCAAGGCGUCGACGGGUAGCCGGCCUGAGAGGGUGUACGGCCACAUUGGGACUGAGAUACGGCCCAGACUCCUACGGGAGGCAGCAGUGGGGAAUAUUGCACAAUGGGCGCAAGCCUGAUGCAGCGACGCCGCGUGGGGGAUGACGGCCUUCGGGUUGUAAACUCCUUUCGCUAGGGACGAAGCGCAAGUGACGGUACCUGGAGAAGAAGCACCGGCGAACUACGU